This 1101-nucleotide long non-coding RNA is filed under the name Homo sapiens (human). RNAcentral's name for it is "HSALNT0209100". Lineage: Eukaryota; Metazoa; Chordata; Mammalia; Primates; Hominidae. The record is from RNAcentral.
GAAAAGCGCAGUAUUCGGGUGGGAGCGAGCCGAUUUUCCAGGUGCCGUCCGUCACCCCUUUCUUUGACUAGGAAAGGGAACUCCCUGACCCCUUGCGCUUCCGGAGUGAGGCAAUGCCUCGCCCUGCUUCGGCUCGCGCACGGUGCACGCACCCACUGACCUGCGCCCACUGUGUGGCACUCCCUAGUGAGAUGAACCCGGUACCUCAGAUGGAAAUGCAGAAAUCACCCGUCUUCUGCGUGGCUCACGCUGGGAGCUGUAGACCGGAGCUGUUCCUAUUCGGCCAUCUUGGCUCCUGGAUCUCUGUGUCAACCUUCUUUUAUUUUUAAAAGAUAUUCACUGUCUCUUACUAAAGCUUCCUGUUCAAAGUCUGGCUGAGAAUUUUUGCUGCUUCUUUCCCUACCUCCUCAUUUCCGAAGGAGGUACCUUUCUGGCUUCUCUGUUGAACAUUUCCUAAAUAAAGUGUGGAUGAAAAGCAAUAGAGGAAGGAAAUGCAGAAAAUUAUAAGGCUGAAAUAGAAACUGGCCACAGCAGAGAUUAAAGAAAUUCUGAACCAGGUGAGAGAAGAGGAGGUAGUAGGGCAGAAGAAAGAGAACAAAUAGCAUGACAGAAAUGCACAGAAGUUAUGGGACAUUGUUCUGGGGAGAUUUUCACAGAGAGAAAAAGACUUUCUUUUAAAUAUUCUUUCCAAAUAAUCACAGUUAGUAAUAAAGAAACCAUAACUAACCAUGGCUAAAAUAUUGAGAGUAAGAAAACUUUUACCAAGUGAUGAAAUACAGCUUAUGUAUCGUAUUAGUCAGAACCAAUAAGACAUAUAUGGAUAUAUAGGAAGAGAUUUACUAUGAGGGACCGGCUCACACAAUUAUGGAGGCUAAGUCUACAAUCUGUUGUCUGGAAGCUGGAGAACCAGAAAACUGGUGGUGUCAUUGUAACUCCAGCGCAAAGGCCUAAGAACCAGAAGAAUCAAUGGUGUAAGUCUCAGUCUGCAUCUGAAGGCCUGAGAACCAGGAGCGCCAAUGUCUGAGGGCAGGAGAAGGUGGGUGUCCCAGCUCAAGAAGAGAGAGCAAAUUCAGUCUUCCUCUGCCUUUUUGUUCUGUUCAG